Molecule: ribosomal RNA, 576 nt
Filed under: uncultured eukaryote
Lineage: Eukaryota
Description: SSU rRNA
Rfam family: Eukaryotic small subunit ribosomal RNA
Source: RNAcentral
UAAAAACCCCGACUUCGGAAGGGGUGUAUUUAUUAGAUACAAAACCAAUGCCCUUCGGGGCUCUUUGGUGAUUCAUGAUAACUAUACGAAUCGCACGGCCUUGCGCCGGCGAUGGUUCAUUCAAAUUUCUUCCCUAUCAACUUUCGAUGUUUGGGUAUUGGCCAAACAUGGUUGCAACGGGUAACGGAGGGUUAGGGCUCGACCCCGGAGAAGGAGCCUGAGAAACGGCUACUACAUCCAAGGAAGGCAGCAGGCGCGCAAAUUACCCAAUCCCGACUCGGGGAGGUAGUGACAAUAAAUACUGAUACAGGGCCCUUUCGGGCCUUGUAAUUGGAAUGAGUACAAUUUAAAUCCCUUAACGAGGAACAAUUGGAGGGCAAGUCUGGUGCCAGCAGCCGCGGUAAUUCCAGCUCCAAUAGCGUAUACUAAAGUUGUUGUGGUUAAAAAGCUCGUAGUUGAACCUUGGGCCUGGCUGGCCGGUCCGCCUCACCGCGUGCACUGGUCCGGCCGGGCCUUUCCCUCUGUGGAACCCCAUACCCUUCACUGGGCGUGGCGGGGAAACAGGACAUUUACUUU